RNAcentral lists this ribosomal RNA (250 nucleotides) under uncultured bacterium. Its description in RNAcentral is "partial 16S ribosomal RNA". It matches the Rfam family "Bacterial small subunit ribosomal RNA", at positions 525 to 775 of the family's 1533-position model. The record is from RNAcentral.
ACGUAGGGGGCGAGCGUUAUCCGGAUUCAUUGGGCGUAAAGCGCUCGUAGGCGGUCCGUUAGGUCGGGAGUCAAAUCCGGGGGCUCAACCCCCGCCCGCUCCCGAUACCGGCGGACUUGAGUUUGGUAGGGGAAGGCGGAAUUCCAAGUGUAGCGGUGGAAUGCGCAGAUAUUUGGAAGAACACCGGUGGCGAAGGCGGCCUUCUGGGCCACAACUGACGCUGAGGAGCGAAAGCUAGGGGAGCGAACAG